GGGUCGUUAGCUCAGUUGGUAGAGCAGUUGACUUUUAAUCAAUUGGUCGCAGGAGCAGUUGACUUUUAAUCAAUUGGUCGCAGGUUCGAAUCCUGCACGACCCACCA
This 107-nucleotide transfer RNA is filed under the name Klebsiella grimontii. RNAcentral's name for it is "tRNA-OTHER". It matches the Rfam family "tRNA". Rfam says of the family: Transfer RNA (tRNA) molecules are approximately 80 nucleotides in length. Their secondary structure includes four short double-helical elements and three loops (D, anti-codon, and T loops). Lineage: Bacteria; Pseudomonadati; Pseudomonadota; Gammaproteobacteria; Enterobacterales; Enterobacteriaceae. The record is from RNAcentral.